This 439-nucleotide ribosomal RNA is filed under the name uncultured bacterium. RNAcentral's name for it is "partial 16S ribosomal RNA". It matches the Rfam family "Bacterial small subunit ribosomal RNA", at positions 339 to 795 of the family's 1533-position model. The record is from RNAcentral.
CUACGGGCGGCUGCAGUGGGGAAUAUUGCACAAUGGGGGAAACCCUGAUGCAGCAACGCCGCGUGGAGGAUGACACAUUUCGGUGCGUAAACUCCUUUUAUAUAAGAAGAUAAUGACGGUAUUAUAUGAAUAAGCACCGGCUAACUCCGUGCCAGCAGCCGCGGUAAUACGGAGGGUGCAAGCGUUAUUCGGAAUCACUGGGCGUAAAGGGUGCGUAGGCGGUUUGGAAAGUCAGGUGUGAAAGCCCGGGGCUCAACUCCGGAACUGCACUUGAAACUUCCAGACUAGAAUACUGAAGGGGCAGAUGGAAUUAGUGGUGUAGGGGUAAAAUCCGUAGAUAUCACUAGGAAUACCGAAAGCGAAAGCGAUCUGCUGGGAAGUUAUUGACGCUGAGGCACGAAAGCGUGGGGAGCAAACAGGAUUAGAUACCCCAGUAGUC